GAUGAACGCUGGCGGCGUGCCUAAUACAUGCAAGUCGAACGGAAGGACGAUGAGCUUGCUGCGCUGAUGUUAGCGGCGGACGGGUGAAUAACACGUGGAUAACCUACCUAUAAUACUGGGAUAACUUCGAGACACCGGAGCUAAUACCGGAUGAUCUUUUGAACCGCAGGGUUCAAAGGAGAAAGACGGUCUUGCUGUCACUUCUAGCUGGAUCCGCGCUGCAUUAGCUAGUUGGUAAGGUAACGGCUUACCAAGGCAACGAUGCAUAGCCGAACUGAGAGGGGGAUCGGCCACACUGGAAGGGAGACACGGUCCAGAGUACUACGGGAGGCAGCAGUAGGGUAUGGGCGGCAAUGGGCGAAAGUCUGACGGAGCGAGGGCGAGCGUGUGACGACGGUCUCGGGAGCGGAAAACUCUGUUACUAGGUAAGAACAUAUGUGGAAGUAAACGUGGAGAGAGUGACGGUACCGAAUAAGAAAGCACCGGCUAACUACGUG
RNAcentral lists this ribosomal RNA (497 nucleotides) under uncultured bacterium. RNAcentral's name for it is "partial 16S ribosomal RNA". It matches the Rfam family "Bacterial small subunit ribosomal RNA", at positions 28 to 507 of the family's 1533-position model. The record is from RNAcentral.